RNAcentral lists this non-coding RNA (108 nucleotides) under Janthinobacterium sp. RNAcentral's name for it is "Glycine sequence". It matches the Rfam family "Glycine riboswitch aptamer". From Rfam's summary of the family: This family represents the bacterial glycine riboswitch. Glycine riboswitches usually consist of two metabolite-binding aptamers domains with similar structures in tandem. Lineage: Bacteria; Pseudomonadati; Pseudomonadota; Betaproteobacteria; Burkholderiales; Oxalobacteraceae. The record is from RNAcentral.
AAGGCGUUAUCGGGAGAGUCUGUCGGUUACAAGCUGGUCUUGUAUGCCGGCAGCGCCGAAGGAGCAACCGCCCCGGAAUCUCUCAGGCCCAAGGACCGAUAACCCAUU